AAGCAAAUACAAAGGCAGACCAAAAUAAGAGUCCAGAUUGAGUGGAUCCUAAGUUUCUCUCUUCUGUGAAAGAAUCAUUUGGAGUAUCCACAAGAAUAUGUCCACUCUUACAAUUAUUCUUUUGGAAUUCUAUGGACUUUGAAGAGGAAUCCAUACCAUUCCUAUAUUGUGUAAGGUGUCUCAUCUGGUCCCUUGACCUCAAAUUCAAAUUAUCUGAUGAUGGCGUUCUUCCCAUUUAGGAGCUAGCAAAAACUGAGGCUGAGAACCUGAGUGUGGUCACUUGUGCAGGCAGGGGCCUGACAGAGAAGCAGGGGAACACCUGGAGCUCCUUUUACCUCAUUGCACCUGAAAACAGUGCAUAAGAUGAAAGGCACGUAAUUAAUUGUUGUUGAUAAGAUGAUUUGAAAGAGGAUUGCUUGCCAAAUCUCCACCCCAGAAUGCUUCACAAUCUGUUCACUUUAUUUUUUUUCUCCCUUCUCUUUCUGAAGGUGGGAUGAAAUAACAGAGGCAGGCACUUUGCAGCCUUUUAGAAGCAAAAAAAAAAGUGCAGUAAGUUAAGACAUGGGGGCUUCUGUCCUUCUGUAAGUACAAACUGAAUUUCCAGAGGAGUUUGAUCUUGUCUGAGUUUAAACCAAAUGAGAGCAGAUCUGUGUCACCACAGUGUCAUUAAUUCCUGCAUAGGUCUAUGUUCUUGCUAGGCAGUCAAUAGAAGGUUUUUCCUCUGGAGCUGCCUUUGGUCUUUAGCUGGUGACUGACACUUGUUUCCCAUCUCUCUUUUAUUUUCCUGAUCCCUACCCUCAUUCUGGACAACUAAGCUCCUUCCAGUGUAACACUGGUCAUCACAAGGUUAGGAAUGAAUAGUGUUGAUAUUAUAAAAGCACAGUCUCCUCCUCCAUCCAGAGAACUGUCACCCAGUCAUGCUCUCCAGUCCCCAUGAAGAUUGUGCCCUUAUCACUGUAAGCAGGGAUCAAUACUGAGUUGCCACAGCAACACUAAUAAGCCUUGUAAAUAUCCUUCUUGGUUGUUAAGACACACUGGGGGAAAUAAGAUAGUAAGGCAUGGCCUCCCUGGCCUCUCAGGAAUCCAUGCAAAGGAGUUUAUUGUGUUUACUGGGUAGAGACCUACACCAGGGAUACCUAAGGAGUUCUUAGGUUGAAGAGGAUCUUUUGUGAGAAUCUUCAUUUCACUGAUUUCUUAAGGAGCUUUGGGAACAUAUAGGCGUAUCCUAAACAUUUUGAGAGUUAUGUGUCAGGAGCCAAGACUCCAAAGGAAUCUUAAAUUUAUAUUUAACAGAAAACUCCACCCUUGCCAGUGACUGAGAUCUAUACCACAUGGUUCUGGGGUAGGAAAUGGGGUAGGAAAUGAAAGAAUCAGCUGAAAGGGAGGGUGGUAAGAUUUGGUUGCUAGUUAGAAAUGUUUUAUUCUUCACUCAUUGAUUCCAGCUUUCAUUCUAUACAAGUUUAUUUUUAAAAAUGUGGAUGCUCCAUUUUCAGAGGCUGAUCUAAAAAUACAUGCCUGCAUACCUGAGGCUACAAUGUGUACAUAAAUCCAAACCCACAAAAGAAAGUGAUUGUAUUCAGGGGCAGAGUAGACCACAGAACUGAGCUGAAGGAUCCCUUCCAGGAGUUUCUUCAUCUGUGAUAGGAGUUGAAUCUAUCAUGAGUUGGAGGAUGAAGAGAAUCCUGUUCCAUCCUGACAGAUACAGAUUUCAUGGAGAGAGAAAACUUGGAGACAUUUGCUGUGUUUGCUGUUCCCAGGUGCUCUUAGUGUGAGGUCCAGAAAGUGUCAUAGUUAGGGGUAUGUUUUUGCUUUUGAGCCUCAUCUCUAAGCGUAAAAAAGGUUGGUGAACUUCUCUGAAGAACCAGAUAGUAAAUACUUUCAAGGCUGCAGGCGAUUGGCUGUCAGUUGUUGCUAUGCAGUUCUGUUGCUGAAGCUGCUACAUCACAGAUGUGCCGUCUGCAAGCAAAUGAAUGAGCAUGGCUAUGCUUCAACACUCAUUCCUGAACGUCAAAAGGUGAGUUCCACAUCCGUUUUUACAUGUUGUUAAACAUUAGUCUUCUUUCUCCAAUUAUCUAAAAGUUCAAAAGCCAUUCUUCAUGCAGGUUAGACAUGAACAGGCAGCAGGAAGUAUCUGACCCAUAGACUGCAGUUCUACAUUUUGUGUGAGACCCAGGAAAUUAACUGAAGUUUCUGCUUCAGAAGUCAAAACCACCCAUGGCCACACUGAGUGCUCAACCUUUCAGGAUCCAUUCAAGAGCUAACUACUUGCAAAGGAAGCAACGGGGGCUUUGGAGUCCUCUUGCUUACUGGGGCUCAAGCUGACAUGCUGUCGACUUUACCUUGUUAAGAUCCCCAAGGCCCCUAUGAGGCACAGCUUUACUUACUGCUCAUGCAAGGAUGAGAAAGGGCCACUGCCAUUCCUCGCCCACCAUAAUUGCCAUGGCUGACACUCCUGUAACAAAAAACAGGUUAGCCAGAGGAAAGCAUAGCUAAUUUAUUUAAUCAAAAUGGUAUGGGACACAGAAGCCUUCAGGAAUGAAGCCCAAACAAACCAGGGGGAAUAUGUCUGUUUGUAUGCUUAAAUUUGAUGAAGAAUUGAUAGCUGUGCAAAAGUGUAACUGGAUUAAAGGUUCUAGCUUAAAGUAAUAGACUGGCAGAGAUGGGAAACAAGCCUGUUCAGGUUCCUUUUGUCCCUUGUUACAUUCCUCUCUCCCAGGUACAUGGUGAAGCCAUUUUGGGAUGAAGGUCUUAUAAGCUAUUAUCAGAUAAAGUCAUUGGGGUCUUUCCAGGUAGAAGGCUCCUACACAAAACAUCAGGGGAAGGAAGGGGAAGGUGAUAGUCUAGGUUCUAUGAGCCAUCUGAAGAAAGAGGAAUCCAAGCUUCUCUAAAUAACUGCAGGAGAGAAAGAGGAGCGAGAGCGAGAGCGAGAGCGAGAGCGAGAGCGAGA
Long non-coding RNA from Peromyscus leucopus (white-footed mouse), 2947 nucleotides. RefSeq lists it as uncharacterized. The record is from RefSeq and is a predicted model, not a curated record. The transcript has 4 exons. NCBI's taxonomy places the organism in Eukaryota, Metazoa, Chordata, Mammalia, Rodentia, Cricetidae.